RNA transcript from Alnus glutinosa, 1897 nucleotides. It is a transcript of the gene named zinc finger protein CONSTANS-LIKE 15-like, with no coding region annotated. The transcript is spliced from 5 exons. Lineage: Eukaryota; Viridiplantae; Streptophyta; Magnoliopsida; Fagales; Betulaceae. The record is from RefSeq and is a predicted model, not a curated record.
GCGCUGAGCUAUCAUGCCAUGUCAGCAAAAAGGUCAAAAAGAUAUUUUCCGAAAUGGGCUCUAUCUUUCCCACUAUAUCGUUCCCCCAAAAGCUGAAAAUUGUCCCUCUAGCUUAAGCUUAGUUUAGCUUCAGCUUGAAGGCUUGAAGCUUCCAAGAGUCUCCAAAAUUAGGGUUUCGUUAUGGGGAGUCCUCGAUCCAGAACCGGAGAUGGCGCGGUGCCGUGCGAUUUCUGCGCUGAGCAGAGUGCGGUGCUGUACUGUAGGGCGGACUCUGCGAAGCUGUGCCUGUUCUGCGACCAGCACGUGCACUCGGCCAACUUGCUGUCCCGGAAGCACGUGCGCUCCCAGAUCUGUGACAACUGCGGGUCCGAGCCGGUCUUGGUUCGGUGCGCCACCGACAACCUGGUGCUGUGCCACCAGUGCGACUGGGACGCCCAUGGUGGCUGUUCCGUGUCCGCCUCACACGAUCGCAGCCAAAUCGAAGGAUUUUCUGGGUGCCCCUCAGCUCGCGAGCUCGCUUCCCUCUUGGGCGUCGAUCUCGAGGAUAAGAAGGUAAAUCCGAAUCCAUCUGGGCCGUUGAUCCAGAGCUGGAGGACUGGUGGGGAUGUGAUGAACGACCCGUCGUUGUGGGGGUACGACAAGUCGAACGCGGGGGUGGUGUGUCUGCCAGACCUGAUUGUGCCGAGCAAGACGGUGGUAAAGAGACAGGGCGGUCGGAGUGGUGGGAAUAGGGGGCUGGUGAUGUGUAGGCAGCUGGUGGAGCUUUUAAGGAGGAGUGGUGACGGGUGGGAGGGGCUGGUUGGUUUGGGGAGUGGCGGUGAUGGUGAUGGUGGGAUUGAUGGGUUUGUGGAUGCCAGCCCUGUCGUUGCUCAGCAACAACAGCAACAACAGCAACCACAGCAAGAAGCGCCGGUCACGGCUUUGCUUAUGAUGGAUUUGAAGGAGAGCGAUCGCAUUGUGGAUGGUGAUGUGUUGUGGGACAGAAAUCCCAGAAGUCAGAGCACCCAGAUAUGGGAUUUUAAUCUUGGACUGUUGAGGGGUCAUGAAGAAACGGGUACACUGGAAGUUGCCUAUGGUGCAAAUGAUGCAGGAUUUAUGAUAAAAAAUUUUGGUGAACUUACGAAAGAAACACCUUUGAAUAAUACAAAAAUGAUGGGAGAUAUGUUCCAGAUGAAUUGCCCUAUUGCACGUGACGAUAUGGCGUUCAAUAAUAUCUCGAAUAAUCCCACAACCAGCCUAGGGCCAGCAACAUCUGAGAGCAACAACCUACCUGUAGGAAGGCCAUCGUCAGGUAAAGCAAGAGGUUCCAGUGGUUCUAAAGAGUUCCAGCUUGUGGAACAACCUUUUCUUGUCGGGGGUGACCGUGUGGGAACAGCAGCACCUACCAAGGCAGAUAUGGAGCUACUGGCACAGAACAGAGGCAAUGCCAUGCAACGGUACAAGGAGAAGAAGAAAAACCGAAGAUAUGAGAAGCACAUACGGUACGAGUCGAGGAAAGCAAGAGCCGAUACUAGGAAGCGAGUCAAGGGUCGGUUUGUGAAAGCUAGUGAAGCUCCUGAUGGUUAAUUGCAUGCUGAGAUGACCUUCUCCUUUACUCACUGUGUGUAAAUAUGUUUGAUCAUAUUCUUCUCACAGUAAAUAAAAGCACAUGGACGACGUUCUGUAACUUGGACUAAAACGUGGCACAAUCAACAGCGCCACCACCGACAAGAUCACUGGGUGAUGUUCUGGUUUAUGUUAAAUUAUUGCAUUAAGGUCUGAAAAGGCUGCGGAAUAUGGCAGAUAGUAGCUCGGUGGCCCAUUAGGUUUCACGGUCAUUUGUUUAGAGGCAUUAAACAACUUAGAUUUGUCAUACAGGCUACAGUAUAUUAUAUAAUAAUGCUUGCUGUUUCUGAUC